RNAcentral lists this ribosomal RNA (253 nucleotides) under uncultured bacterium. RNAcentral's name for it is "partial 16S ribosomal RNA". It matches the Rfam family "Bacterial small subunit ribosomal RNA", at positions 524 to 776 of the family's 1533-position model. The record is from RNAcentral.
UACAGAGGGUGCAAGCGUUGUUCGGAAUUAUUGGGCGUAAAGGGUGCGUAGGCGGGUCUUUAAGUCAGGGGGGAAAUCCUGGAGCUCAACUCCAGAACUGCCUUUGAUACUGAAGAUCUUGAGUCCGGGAGAGGUGAGUGGAACUGCGAGUGUAGAGGUGAAAUUCGUAGAUAUUCGCAAGAACACCAGUGGCGAAGGCGGCUCACUGGCCCGGUACUGACGCUGAGGCACGAAAGCGUGGGGAGCAAACAGG